RNAcentral lists this ribosomal RNA (497 nucleotides) under uncultured bacterium. RNAcentral describes it as "partial 16S ribosomal RNA". It matches the Rfam family "Bacterial small subunit ribosomal RNA", at positions 28 to 507 of the family's 1533-position model. The record is from RNAcentral.
GAUGAACGCUGGCGGCGUGCCUAAUACAUGCAAGUCGAGCGAACAGACGAGGAGCUUCCUCUUCUGACGUUAGCGGCGGACGGGUGAGUAACACGUGGUUAACCUACCUAUAAGUCUGGGAUAACUUCGUGAAACCGGAGCUAAUCCCGGCUAAUAUAUUGAACCGCAUGGUUCAAUAGUGAAAGACCGUUUUGGCGUCCCUUAUGGGUGGAUCCGGGGGGGAUUAGCUAGUUGGUACGGUAACUGCUUACCAAGGCGACGAUGCGUGGCCGACCUGGUAGGGGGAUGGGGUACACGGGAACAGAGAAGCGGUCUGGACGCCUACGAGAGGCAGCAGGAGGGUAUCUGCGGCAAUGGGCGAAAGGGUGGCGGAGCAACGCCGAGUGAGUGAUGAUGGUGGUGGGAUCGGAAAACGCGGUGAUUAGGGAGGAACAAAUGGGCAGGGAGCAGUGCAGGUCUUGACGGUACCUAAUCAGAAAGGCACGGCUAACUAAGUG